This 496-nucleotide ribosomal RNA is filed under the name uncultured bacterium. Its description in RNAcentral is "partial 16S ribosomal RNA". It matches the Rfam family "Bacterial small subunit ribosomal RNA", at positions 29 to 507 of the family's 1533-position model. The record is from RNAcentral.
AUGAACGCUGGCGGCGUGCCUAAUACAUGCAAGUCGAGCGAACAGACGAGGAGCUUGCUCCUCUGACGUUAGCGGCGGACGGGUGAGUAACACGUGGAUAACCUACCUAUAAGACUGGGAUAACUUCGGGAAACCGGAGCUAAUACCGGAUAAUAUAUUGAACCGCAUGGUUCAAUAGUGAAAGACGGUUUUGCUGUCACUUAUAGAUGGAUCCGCGCCGCAUUAGCUAGUUGGUAAGGUAACGGCUUACCAAGGCAACGAUGCGUAGCCGACCUGAGAGGGUGAUCGGCCACACUGGAACUGAGACGGGGUCCAGACUCCUACGGGAGGCAGCAGUAGGGAAUCUUCCGCAAUGGGCGAAAGCCUGACGGAGCAACGCCGCGUGAGUGAUGAAGGUCUUCGGAUCGUAAAACUCUGUUAUUAGGGAAGAACAAAUGUGUAAGUAACUAUGCACGUCUUGACGGUACCUAAUCAGAAAGCCACGGCUAACUACGUG